This 255-nucleotide unclassified non-coding RNA is filed under the name Fusarium sp. Its description in RNAcentral is "partial contains 5.8S ribosomal RNA, internal transcribed spacer 2, and large subunit ribosomal RNA". Lineage: Eukaryota; Fungi; Ascomycota; Sordariomycetes; Hypocreales; Nectriaceae. The record is from RNAcentral.
CGCACAUUGCGCCCGCCAGUAUUCUGGCGGGCAUGCCUGUUCGAGCGUCAUUUCAACCCUCAAGCCCCUCCGGGUUUGGCGUUGGGGAUCGGCCUCCGCUCCGGCGGCCGGCCCCGAAAUCGAGUGGCGGUCCCGCCGCGGCUUCCUCUGCGUAGUAAAACACCUCGCACUGGGACGCGGCGCGGCCACGCCGUAAAUCAGACGAAUUUUCUGAAGGUUGACCUCGGAUCAGGUAGGAAUACCCGCUGAACUUAA